AACGAACGCUGGCGGCAUGCCUAACACAUGCAAGUCGAACGAGACCUUCGGGUCUAGUGGCGCACGGGUGCGUAACGCGUGGGAAUCUACCCUCAGGUUCGGAAUAACUCAGAGAAAUUUGAGCUAAUACCGGAUGAUGACGUAAGUCCAAAGAUUUAUCGCCUGAGGAUGAGCCCGCGUAGGAUUAGGUAGUUGGUGAGGUAAAGGCUCACCAAGCCGACGAUCCUUAGCUGGUCUGAGAGGAUGAUCAGCCACACUGGGACUGAGACACGGCCCAGACUCCUACGGGAGGCAGCAGUGGGGAAUAUUGGACAAUGGGCGAAAGCCUGAUCCAGCAAUGCCGCGUGAGUGAUGAAGGCCUUAGGGUUGUAAAGCUCUUUUACCCGGGAUGUUAAUGACAGUACCGGGAGAAUAAGCUCCGGCUAACUCCGUG
RNAcentral lists this ribosomal RNA (433 nucleotides) under uncultured bacterium. RNAcentral's name for it is "partial 16S ribosomal RNA". It matches the Rfam family "Bacterial small subunit ribosomal RNA", at positions 29 to 507 of the family's 1533-position model. The record is from RNAcentral.